This 403-nucleotide ribosomal RNA is filed under the name bacterium. Its description in RNAcentral is "partial 16S ribosomal RNA". It matches the Rfam family "Bacterial small subunit ribosomal RNA", at positions 355 to 776 of the family's 1533-position model. The record is from RNAcentral.
UGGGGAAUAUUGCACAAUGGGGGAAACCCUGAUGCAGCGACGCCGCGUGAACGAAGAAGGUAUUCGUAUCGUAAAGAUCUGUCCUAUGGGAAGAUAAUGACAGUACCAUAGAAGAAAGCUCCGGCUAAAUACGUGCCAGCAGCCGCGGUAAUACGUAUGGAGCGAGCGUUGUCCGGAAUUAUUGGGCGUAAAGGGUACGCAGGCGGUUUAAUAAGUCGAAUGUUAAAGAUCGGGGCUCAACCCCGCAAAGCAUUGGAAACUGAUAAACUUGAGUAGUGGAGAGGAAAGUGGAAUUCCUAGUGUAGUGGUGAAAUACGUAGAUAUUAGGAGGAAUACCAGUAGCGAAGGCGACUUUCUGGACACAAACUGACGCUGAGGUACGAAAGCGUGGGGAGCAAACAGG